Long non-coding RNA from Chelonia mydas (Green sea turtle), 357 nucleotides. RefSeq lists it as uncharacterized. The record is from RefSeq and is a predicted model, not a curated record. The transcript has 4 exons. Lineage: Eukaryota; Metazoa; Chordata; Testudines; Cheloniidae.
GGCAUUCUGAAUCCUGGGUAGCAAAGGCUACACUGGAAUGGAGCUAACUCCUGUGGACUGCCUCUAAAACACUGGAUUAUUCCUUUUACUGGAUUGGAUUAUCCCAUAAUGGAGCAGAUGGGCCCUGGCUAUGGGAGGACAGGGCAGCUCUCUCCACUGAUGUAAUGCACCAGAAAUGAGUGAGCAGGCAGUGACCUAUGCAGACCUGAAAUUUCAAACUCCUUCCAAGCAGCAGAGGAAAAAGACACCUAAGAACACCAGGAACAAAGAAGGAAACGAGGAGGUGGUGACCUAUACAGGACUGAAAUGCAACAAUGCUUCUGAGCAGGAGAGGAGAGAAAGGACUAUGAACUCCCA